Molecule: long non-coding RNA, 265 nt
Organism: Rhincodon typus (whale shark)
Lineage: Eukaryota; Metazoa; Chordata; Chondrichthyes; Orectolobiformes; Rhincodontidae
Exons: 3
Source: RefSeq, a predicted model, not a curated record
GACGAUGUGGUCGCAGAGCUCAGAAGAAUAUCUGCCUGUCCCCUAGUGACCCAUACUCAGGAAUCCUUCACUCAGGUGUCUGUGUGGAACCAGAGAGUCAGUGGGUGACUCAAGUUAACAGAUUGCAGCAGCUGAUUGACAGGUUGGAGUGCAAGGAUGGGCCUGUUAAUGGUGAAGGAAUUGAAGGAAAACAUAUUACAGGGGUGUGUGCCUGGGGAGAGACCAGGAGUGUGGGACCACCUACAGGGACACUUGGGAAUGGUGC